CGACAGCGACCCCAGGUCAG
This 20-nucleotide ribosomal RNA is filed under the name Veronica tubata. Its description in RNAcentral is "partial 26S ribosomal RNA". Lineage: Eukaryota; Viridiplantae; Streptophyta; Magnoliopsida; Lamiales; Plantaginaceae. The record is from RNAcentral.